AGCAGCCGCGGUAAUUCCAGCUCCAAUAGCGUAUAUUAAAGUUGUUGCAGUUAAAAAGCUCGUAGUUGAAUUUCGGGGUCAGUAGGUCGGUCGUGCCACUGGUAUGAACUGGUUUUACUGAUUCCUCCCUCUUGAAGAACUGUAAUGCCAUUAAUUUGGUGUUGCAGGGAAUCAGGACUGUUACUUUGAAAAAAUUGAGUGUUUAAAGCAGGCUUUAGCUUGAAUACAUUAGCAUGGAAUAAUGAAAUAGGACGUUUGAUCCUAUUUUGUUGGUUUCUAGGAUUGACGUAAUGAUUAAUAGGGAUAGUUGGGGGCAUUAGUAUUCAAUUGUCAGAGGUGAAAUUCUUGGAUUUAUUGAAGACUAACUACUGCGAAAGCAUUUGCCAAGGAUGUUUUCAUUAAUCAAGAACGAAGUUAGGGAUCGAAGACGAUCAGAUACCGUCGUAGUCUUAACCAUAAACUAUAGCCGACUAGGGAUCGGAUGAUGUUAAUUUUUAUGUACUNAUUCGGCUCCGUUAAC
This 520-nucleotide ribosomal RNA is filed under the name uncultured Glomus. RNAcentral describes it as "SSU rRNA". It matches the Rfam family "Eukaryotic small subunit ribosomal RNA", at positions 569 to 1093 of the family's 1831-position model. The record is from RNAcentral. Lineage: Eukaryota; Fungi; Glomeromycota; Glomeromycetes; Glomerales; Glomeraceae.